This 83-nucleotide transfer RNA is filed under the name Minisyncoccota bacterium. Its description in RNAcentral is "tRNA-Leu". It matches the Rfam family "tRNA". Rfam says of the family: Transfer RNA (tRNA) molecules are approximately 80 nucleotides in length. Their secondary structure includes four short double-helical elements and three loops (D, anti-codon, and T loops). Lineage: Bacteria; Bacillati; Minisyncoccota. The record is from RNAcentral.
GCCGCAGUGUUGGAAUGGUAGACAAUCGCGACUCAAAAUCGCGUGGGAGUAAUCCCGUGAGAGUUCAAGUCUCUCCUGCGGCA